GCAUAUCAUAAGCGGAGGAAAGAAACUAACAAGGAUUCCCCUAGUAACUGCGAGUGAAGCGGGAAGAGCUCAAAUUUGAAAUCUGGCAGUGUGUCGCUGUCCGAGUUGUAGUCUGGAGAAGUGUUUUCUGUGCUGGACCGUGUACAAGUCUCUUGGAAUAGAGCGUCAUAGAGGGUGAGAAUCCCGUCUUUGACACGGACUACCAGUGCUUUGUGAUGCGCUCUCAAAGAGUCGAGUUGUUUGGGAAUGCAGCUCAAAAUGGGUGGUAAAUUCCAUCUAAAGCUAAAUAUUGGCGAGAGACCGAUAGCGAACAAGUACCGUGAGGGAAAGAUGAAAAGCACUUUGGAAAGAGAGUUAAACAGUACGUGAAAUUGCUGAAAGGGAAACGCUUGAAGUCAGUCACGUUGGUCAGAACUCAGCCUGGCGUUGUUGCUUGGUGCACUUUCUGAUCAACGGGCCAGCAUCAAUUUUGACCAUUGGAAAAAUUCUCUGGGAAUGUGGCUCUCUCGGGAGUGUUAUAGCCUGGGGUUGUAUACAGUGGUUGGGAUUGAGGAACUCAGCACGCCUUUAUGGUCGGGGUUCGCCCACGUUCGUGCUUAGGAUGCUGGCGUAAUGGCUUUAAACGACCCGUCUUGAAACACGGACCAAGGAGUCUAACAUGCCUGCGAGUGUUUGGGUGGAAAACCCGAGCGCGCAAUGAAAGUGAAAGUUGGGAUCUCCGUCGUGGAGAGCACCGACGCCCAUACCAGACCUUCUGUGACGGCUAUGCGGUUGAGCAUGUAUGUUGGGACCCGAAAGAUGGUGAACUAUGCCUGAAUAGGGUGAAGCCAGAGGAAACUCUGGUGGAGGCUCGUAGCGAUUCUGACGUGCAAAUCGAUCGUCAAAUUUGGGUAUAGGGGCGAAAGACUAAUCGAACAUCUAGUAGCUGCUCUGC
This 934-nucleotide ribosomal RNA is filed under the name Podoscypha gillesii. RNAcentral describes it as "partial large subunit ribosomal RNA". It matches the Rfam family "Eukaryotic large subunit ribosomal RNA", at positions 38 to 959 of the family's 3401-position model. The record is from RNAcentral. Lineage: Eukaryota; Fungi; Basidiomycota; Agaricomycetes; Polyporales; Podoscyphaceae.